RNAcentral lists this ribosomal RNA (258 nucleotides) under uncultured bacterium. RNAcentral's name for it is "partial 16S ribosomal RNA". It matches the Rfam family "Bacterial small subunit ribosomal RNA", at positions 524 to 777 of the family's 1533-position model. The record is from RNAcentral.
UACGGAGGGUGCAAGCGUUGUCCGGAUUUAUUGGGUUUAAAGGGUGCGUAGGCGGUCUUUUAAGUCAGUGGUGAAAUCCUGCAGCUUAACUGUAGAACUGCCAUUGAUACUGGAAGACUUGAGUAUAGACGAGGUAGGCGGAAUUGACGGUGUAGCGGUGAAAUGCAUAGAUAUCGUCAAGAACACCGAUUGCGAAGGCAGCUUACUAGACUAAUAACUGACGCUGAGGCACGAAAAGCGUGGGGGAUCAAAACAGGG